AAGGUCUAACCUGCCCUAUGAUAUAUUAAAUGGCCGCGGUAUUUUAACUGUGCUAAGGUAGCAUAAUCACUUGUCUUUUAAUUAAAGGCUAGAAUGAAUGGUUGGACGAGGUACAAGCUUUCUUUAAUUUAAUUAUUGAAUUUAAUUUUUUAGUUAAAAAGCUAAAAUUAAUUUGAGGGACGAGAAGACCCUAUAGAUCUUUAUAUAUUUAUUUAUUAUGUAUUUUAGUGAAUUAAUUAUUUUAAUAAUUGAAUUUAUUUGGUUGGGGCGACUGUAGAAUAUGUUAAACUUCUAUUUUUAUUUAUUCAUAAAUUAGUGUUUUAUUGAUCCAGUUUUAUUGAUUAAAAUAUUAAGUUACCUUAGGGAUAACAGCGUAAUUUCUUUGGAGAGUUCUUAUCGAUAAAGUAGUUUGCGACCUCGAUGUUGGAUUAAAAUAAGUGGUAGGUGCAGAAGCUUACUAACUAGGUCUGUUCGACCUU
Molecule: ribosomal RNA, 479 nt
Filed under: Rhynocoris fuscipes
Lineage: Eukaryota; Metazoa; Arthropoda; Insecta; Hemiptera; Reduviidae
Description: partial large subunit ribosomal RNA
Rfam family: Bacterial large subunit ribosomal RNA
Source: RNAcentral